This 466-nucleotide ribosomal RNA is filed under the name uncultured bacterium. RNAcentral's name for it is "partial 16S ribosomal RNA". It matches the Rfam family "Bacterial small subunit ribosomal RNA", at positions 28 to 507 of the family's 1533-position model. The record is from RNAcentral.
GAUGAACGCUGGCGGCGUGCUUAACACAUGCAAGUCGAACGGAAAGGCCCAAGCUUGCUUGGGUUCUCGAGUGGCGAAGGGGUGAGUAACACGUGGGUGAUCUGCUCUGCACUUCGGGAUAAGCCUGGGAAACUGGGCUUACUAUCGUAUAGGACCACACCUUGGAGUGUGUGCAGGAAAGUUUUUCGGUGUGGGAUGAGCUCGCGGCCUAUCAGCUUGUUGGUGGGGGGAUGGGCUACCAAGGAGUCGGCCGGCGGCCGGUCUGUGAAGGUGUACGGCCACACUGAGACUUAGGUGAGGCCCAGGCGGCGACGGGAGGCAGAAGGGGGGAAUCUUGAUCAAUGGGCGCCGGCCGGAUGCAGAGACGCCGCGUGUGGGAUAACGGCCUUCGGGUUGUAAAAUCCUUUCGCUAGGGACGAAGCGUUAUGUGACGGUACCUGGAGAAGAAGCACCGGCUAACUACGUG